GCCCAGAUAGCUCAGUCGGUAGAGCAACGCACUCGUAAUGCGUAGGUCGUGGGUUCGAUUCCCACUCUGGGCU
Molecule: transfer RNA, 73 nt
Filed under: Ilumatobacteraceae bacterium
Lineage: Bacteria; Bacillati; Actinomycetota; Acidimicrobiia; Acidimicrobiales; Ilumatobacteraceae
Also listed under: 2 other names
Description: tRNA-Thr
Rfam family: tRNA
About the family: Transfer RNA (tRNA) molecules are approximately 80 nucleotides in length. Their secondary structure includes four short double-helical elements and three loops (D, anti-codon, and T loops).
Source: RNAcentral